AUGAAUUAUGAGUUUAAUAGAUCCUCUUUAGCAGAAAGACGUAUAUUCCUUGCUCAUUAUCAGAUAAUCACUUAUUCCCAAACCUCGUGUGGGACUAAUCAUUUUAAUUUACCAUCUCAUGGAAAACCCUUUUCGUUCCGCUUAGCCCUAUCAGGUAUUUUAGUGAUAGGUUCUGUAGGAACUGGACGAUCCUAUUUGGUAAAAUACCUAACGAAAAAUUACGAUUUUCCUUUCAUUAAGUUACGAGGGCUUCUUAUUCCACAAGAACGAAAGCUAUGA
RNAcentral lists this ribosomal RNA (279 nucleotides) under Triticum aestivum (bread wheat). RNAcentral's name for it is "partial small subunit ribosomal RNA". The record is from RNAcentral. Lineage: Eukaryota; Viridiplantae; Streptophyta; Magnoliopsida; Poales; Poaceae.